AAAUUAUAGAUUCGAGGAGCUUCAUUUCAAGCCCUCAAUAUUCUUGCUCUGGCUUCCUAUUGCAUUCUAAUCUUCUAUUACAUUCACUCUUUUAUCACUCUUUUAGUAGAGUGUCAUAUACAUGUAUUUGAGUGAUUGCAUCGUAUUUGAUGGCCACAUGCUAGGCCCCAGAGAUAGACAGAUGAAUCUAUACAGGCCUUUCUCUUUUUUCAAAAUUUUGGGAAUGUAAGUCUCUCUAUUGCUUUCCAGGCUGUAGUUCAGCAGCUAUUCACAGGCACUAUCGCAGUACACUGCAACCUUGAACUUAUUUGACGCUAAGACACUUGCUGUAACAGAGGUGUAGAUGUUUCAGCUGAGAAGAGGAAAAGAUACUUGGGUGAGGGGAGGGAGUGAUGCUGCUAUAUAGCACGGUCUUUGUUGAUUUUCUAUUUGGGAGAUCUGUUCAAUGCAGAAAAUGUGGUGUUGAAGUUUUCAGCUAUUAUUGUAUUGGAGUCUAUCUUUCUUUCUAGCUCUAAUAAAAUUUUCUUUAUAUUCAUAAGUGGAAAUUGAACAAUGAGAACAUAUGGACACAGGAAGGGGAACAUCACACUCUGGGGACUGUUGUGGCAUGGGGGGAUGAGGGAGGGAUAGCAUUAGGAGAUAUACCUUAUGCUAAAUGACGAGUUAACGGGUGCAGCACACUAGCAUGGCACAUGUAUACAUAUGUAACUCUCCUGCACAUUGUGCACAUGUACUCUAAAACUUAAAGUAUAAUAAUAAAAAAAAUAAAAAAAGAAAAAAUAAUAAGAAAACUGGCAGAAGACAAAGAUAUCAUCUCUCACCACUUCUAUUCAACAUAGUAUUAAAAGUUCUGGCCAGGAAAAUCAGGCAAAAUAAAUAAAAGGCAUCCAAAUAUGAAUAGAGAAAUUCCAACUAUCCCUGUUUGCAGAUGACAUAAUCCUGUAACUAGAAAAACCCAUAGUCUCAACCCAAAAGCUUCUUAAGCUGACAAACAACUUCAGCAAAUUCUUGGAAUACAAAACCAAUGGGCAAAAACACUA
This 1040-nucleotide long non-coding RNA is filed under the name Homo sapiens (human). RNAcentral's name for it is "HSALNT0283856". The record is from RNAcentral. Lineage: Eukaryota; Metazoa; Chordata; Mammalia; Primates; Hominidae.